UGGGUGACCUGCCCUGUACACACGGAUAACAUAACCGAAAGGUAUGCUAAUACGAGAUAAUAUACUUUUAUCGCAUGGUAGAAGUAUCAAAGCUCUGGCGGUACAGGAUGGACCCCGCAUCUGAUUAGCUAGUUGGUAAGGUAACGGCUUACCAAGGCGACGAUCAGUAGCCGACCUGAGAGGGUGAUCGGCCACACGUGGGACUGAGAUACCGGCCCAGACCUCCGUAGGG
RNAcentral lists this ribosomal RNA (232 nucleotides) under uncultured bacterium. Its description in RNAcentral is "partial 16S ribosomal RNA". It matches the Rfam family "Bacterial small subunit ribosomal RNA", at positions 118 to 346 of the family's 1533-position model. The record is from RNAcentral.